This 468-nucleotide ribosomal RNA is filed under the name uncultured bacterium. RNAcentral's name for it is "partial 16S ribosomal RNA". It matches the Rfam family "Bacterial small subunit ribosomal RNA", at positions 28 to 507 of the family's 1533-position model. The record is from RNAcentral.
GACGAACGCUGGCGGCGGGCUUAACACAUGCAAGUCGAACGGAAAGGGCCUGCUUUUGUGGGGUGCUCGAGCGGCGAACGGGUGAGUAACACGUGAGUAACCUGCCCUUGACUUUGGGAUAACUUCAGGAAACUGGGGCUAAUACCGGAUAGGAGCUCCUGCUGCAUGGUGGGGGUUGGAAAGUUUCGGCGGUAGGGGAUGGACUCGCGGCUUAUCAGCUUGUUGGUGGGGGAGUGGCUUACCAAGGCUUUGACGGAUAGCCGGCCUGAGAGGGUGAACGGCCACAAUGGGACUGAGAUACGGCCCAGACUCCUACGGGAGGCAGCGGUGGGGAAUAUUGCACAAUGGGCGGAAGCCUGAUGCAGCAACGCCGCGUGCGGGAUGACGGCCUUCGGGGUGUAAACCGCUUACGCCUGUGACGAAGCGUGAGUGACGGUAAUGGGUAAAGAAGCACCGGCUAACUACGUG